AUUUAAAUAGUUUAUAUAAAAUAUUGAUUUGUGGAGUCAAAGAAAUUAUUUGAUUUUAAAUU
This 62-nucleotide transfer RNA is filed under the name Scraptia sp. SCR03. RNAcentral's name for it is "tRNA-His". Lineage: Eukaryota; Metazoa; Arthropoda; Insecta; Coleoptera; Scraptiidae. The record is from RNAcentral.